Long non-coding RNA from Thunnus maccoyii (southern bluefin tuna), 815 nucleotides. RefSeq lists it as uncharacterized. The transcript has 3 exons. Lineage: Eukaryota; Metazoa; Chordata; Actinopteri; Scombriformes; Scombridae. The record is from RefSeq and is a predicted model, not a curated record.
ACUCAAGUAAAGUACAAGUACCUCAAAACUACUUCAGUAAAUGUACUUAGUUACUUUCCACCACUGAAGAUGUGAUUUAUUUGAUGCUCUAAUGAAUAAAACUCAGUUAAACACAGUUUGAAUGUGACGCAGACAGGAAAUAACGUGUCGUCUUAUUGUUCGAUCUUCUUCUAUUUGCAAUAAAAAAAAACCCAUAAACGUCAAUCAGAGCGUGACAGCCAAUCAGCAUCGAGAUACAAUCAGCAGAAAUAAAAACAUAAACACGGAGCGCUUCUACUGACUGCGAUUACAUCAUCAUCACCAUCAUCAUUAUCAUCAGUUAUUUACUGAUAAACGCAGCGUUGAAUCUGACCUGUAGGUGAUUUUUAAGAGAAAUGAGAGUCAUCCGGUUAAACACGAUCAGCUGACUGAAACUAAAAUAAAUAAGCAGAAACAAACCUGCAGCUGGAGAUACACCUGUCUGUCUGUGAGUCUGUGUCGGUCAGGAUGAGAGGAUGCAGGCGGAGGAGAGGAUGGAGAGAGAGAGAGAUGGAGGACCGUCUCCAGCUCUACAUGCCCGGAUGUUGAUCUUCAAAUACUGACGCUCCGCCACAGCGCCUCCUGCAGGCUGACAGAAGGAACUGCAGCAUCUCAGAGUUUUCUUCACUCUGCAGUUUGUGGGCGUGUUUCUCUGUGACAUCAUCACCGCUGUGACAUCAUCACCGCUGUGACCACUGACUAACUCGCUGUGAAGCAGAACUCUUCUUCUUCUUCUGUUGACAGUAUUUAAAGAGUCUUUUCCUGAUGUUUCUGAUCAGAAUUUCUUUUUUCUUUUU